UGGGGGAUAUUGCACAAUGGGCGAAAGCCUGAUGCAGCGACGCCGCGUGGGGGAUGAAGGCCUUCGGGUUGUAAACUUCUUUUGCUCUGAACAAGGCGCACCAUGGGGUGUGUUGAGUGUAGGGGUUGAUUAGCGCCGGCUAACUACGUGCCAGCAGCCGCGGUAAUACGUAGGGCGCGAGCGUUGUCCGGAAUUAUUGGGCGUAAAGGGCUUGUAGGUGGCUGGUUGCGUCUGUCGUGAAAGCUCAUGGCUUAACUGUGGGUUGGCGGUGGGUACGGGCUGGCGUGAGUGCAGUAGGGGAGGCUGGAAUUCCUGGUGUAGCGGUGGAAUGCGCAGAUAUCAGGAGGAAUACCGGUGGCGAAGGCGGGGCUCUGGGCUGUUACUGACACUGAGGAGCGAAAGCAUGGGGAGCGAACAGG
Molecule: ribosomal RNA, 419 nt
Filed under: bacterium
Lineage: Bacteria
Description: partial 16S ribosomal RNA
Rfam family: Bacterial small subunit ribosomal RNA
Source: RNAcentral